ACCAGAGUACCGCGGGACACGAGAAACCCCGUGGGAAGCAGGGGGGACCACCCUCCAAGGCAAAACACAGAUAUCGACCGAUAGCGCAUAGUACCAUGAGGGAAAGGUGAAAAGCACCCCGGGAGGGGAAUGAAACAGAACCUGAAACCGUAUGUUUACAAGCAGUCGGAGACCGUAUAUAUAUCAGGUCGACGGCGUGCCUAUUGAAGAAUGAACCGGCGAGUUAUGAGGUCCAGCGAGGUUAAGCAGGAAAUGCGGAGCCGAAGCGAAAGCGAGUCUUAACAGGGCGAGUAGUUGGACUGCAUAGACCCGAAACCACAGUGAUCUACCCAUGUCCAGGUUGAAGCACAGGUAAAAAUGUGUGGAGGACCGAACCUAUAUCCGUUGAAAAGGGUUAGGAUGAGGUGUGGGUAGGGGUGAAAUUCCAAUCGAACGUGGAGAUAGCUGGUUCUCCCCGAAAUAGCUUUAGGGCUAGCCUCAGGGUAAAGAUUGCAGGCGGUAGAGCACUGAUCAGGAGAGGGACCUACCCGGUUACCAAACCCAGUCAAACUACGAAUGGCUGCAAUUAUACCUGGGAGUCAGACUACGACUUAUAAGGGCCGUGGUCAAAAGGGAAACAGCCCAGAUCAUCAGCUAAGGUCCCAAAUGCCGUGCUAAGUGGCGAAGGAUGUGGCGUUUCAUAAACAACCAGGAUGUUGGCUCAGAAGCAGCCACCAUUUAAAGAGUGCGUAAUAGCUCACUGGUCGAGAGACGCUGCGCCGAAAAUGUCCGGGGCUCAAGCACGGAACCGAAGCUAUGGCAUUGCGUAAGCAAUGGGUAGGGGAGCGUUCUUAUGGGGAAGAAGCAUUACCGUAAGGAGAUGUGGACACAUAAGAAGUGAGAAUGCCGGUAUGAGUAUCGAAAAGAAAGGUGAGAAUCCUUUCCACCGAAAGCCCGAGGGUUCCUGAGCAACGAUCGUCGUCUCAGGGUAAGUCGGGACCUAAGCCGAGGCACAGACGCAUAGGCGAUGGACAACAGGUUGAAAUUCCUGUACCGGAUGGAGUCAUUUGAGCAAUGGAGUGACGCAGGAGGGCACAUGAUCGCGCGACUGGAAGAGCGCGUCCAAGUGCGUAUGUUGAAUCGGAGGCAAAUCCCCGAUUCUGAAAGCAGAGACAUGAUGGGGAGUUAUAAGCGAUUAUGACGAACUCAUGGAUCCCACACUGCCAAGAAAAACUUCUAGCGAGACGAAAUCCGCCCGUACCGUAAACCGACACAGGUAGGCGGGGAGAGAAUCCUAAGGUGCGCGGGAAAACCCUCGUUAAGGAACUCGGCAAAUUGCAUCCGUAACUUCGGGAGAAGGAUGGCCCUGAGUAGGCGAAGUGCAGAAACGCACGGAACAGAAAAGGGUGGCAGAAAAGAGGCCCAAGCAACUGUUUACCAAAAACACAGGUGCCUGCGAAAGCGAAAGCUGAAGUAUAGGUGCUGACGCCUGCCCGGUGCUGGAAGGUUAAGGAGAGAGGUUAGCGCAAGCGAAGCUUUGAACUGAAGCCCCAGUGAACGGCGGCCGUAACUAUAACGGUCCUAAGGUAGCGAAAUUCCUUGUCGGGUAAGUUCCGACCCGCAUGAAAGGCGUAAUGAUUUGGGCGCUGUCUCAACGAGGGGCCCGGUGAAAUUGAAAUACCUGUGAAGAUGCAGGUUACCCGCGACUGGACAGAAAGACCCCAUGGAGCUUUACUGCAGCUUGAGAUUGAAUCCCGGUGGCAGACGCACAGGAUAGGUGGGAGGCUUUGAGAUAGUGACUUUGGUUGCUAUGGAGCCGACGUUGGGAUACCACCCUUCUGUUGCUGGGAUUCUAACGCGAAGAUUAACAACCUUGCGGACCAUCUCAGGUAGGCGGUUUGACUGGGGCGGUCGCCUCCGAAAGAGUAACGGAGG
Molecule: ribosomal RNA, 1914 nt
Filed under: human gut metagenome
Description: bacterial LSU rRNA
Rfam family: Bacterial large subunit ribosomal RNA
Source: RNAcentral